Molecule: transfer RNA, 61 nt
Filed under: Nelumbo nucifera (sacred lotus)
Lineage: Eukaryota; Viridiplantae; Streptophyta; Magnoliopsida; Proteales; Nelumbonaceae
Rfam family: tRNA
About the family: Transfer RNA (tRNA) molecules are approximately 80 nucleotides in length. Their secondary structure includes four short double-helical elements and three loops (D, anti-codon, and T loops).
Source: Rfam by way of RNAcentral
GCAUCUAUGGCUGAUUGGUUAAAAAUUGGCAAAUUCGUAGGUUCAAUUCCUAUUGGAUGCA